UACAGAGGUCUCAAGCGUUGUUCGGAUUCAUUGGGCGUAAAGGGUGCGUAGGUGGCGCGCUAAGUCAGGUGUGAAAUUUCGGAGCUUAACUCCGAAACUGCAUUUGAUACUGGCGUGCUUGAGGACUGGAGAGGAGACUGGAAUUCAUGGUGUAGCAGUGAAAUGCGUAGAGAUCAUGAGGAAGACCAGUGGCGAAGGCGGGUCUCUGGACAGUUCCUGACGCUGAGGCGCGAAGGCUAGGGGAGCAAACGGG
RNAcentral lists this ribosomal RNA (253 nucleotides) under uncultured bacterium. RNAcentral describes it as "partial 16S ribosomal RNA". It matches the Rfam family "Bacterial small subunit ribosomal RNA", at positions 524 to 776 of the family's 1533-position model. The record is from RNAcentral.